AGUCGAGGGGUAUAUACUUUCGGGUAUAGAGACCGGCGCACGGGUGCGUAACGCGUAUGCAAUCUACCUUUUACAGGGGAAUAGCCCAGAGAAAUUUGGAUUAAUGCCCCAUAGUAUAUUCGAAUGGCAUCAUUUGAUUAUUAAAGUUCCAACGGUAAAAGAUGAGCAUGCGUCCCAUUAGUUAGUUGGUAAGGUAACGGCUUACCAAGACGAUGAUGGGUAGGGGUCCUGAGAGGGAGAUCCCCCACACUGGUACUGAGACACGGACCAGACUCCUACGGGAGGCAGCAGUGAGGAAUAUUGGACAAUGGGCGCAAGCCUGAUCCAGCCAUGCCGCGUGCAGGAAGAAGCAUCUAUGGUGUGUAAACUGCUUUUAUACAGGAAGAAACACUCCCUCGUGAGGGAGCUUGACGGUACUGUAAGAAUAAGGACCGGCUAACUCCGUGCCAGCAGCCGCGGUAAUACGGAGGGUCCGAGCGUUAUCCGGAAUCAUUGGGUUUAAAGGGUCCGUAGGCGGUUUAAUAAGUCAGUGGUGAAAUCUGGUCGCUCAACGAUCAAACGGCCAUUGAUACUGUUAGACUUGAAUUACUGGGAAGUAACUAGAAUAUGUAGUGUAGCGGUGAAAUGCUUAGAUAUUACAUGGAAUACCAAUUGCGAAGGCAGGUUACUACCAGUGGAUUGACGCUGAUGGACGAAAGCGUGGGGAGCGAACAGGAUUAGAUACCCUGGUAGUCCACGCCGUAAACGAUGGAUACUAGCUGUUGGGGGCAACCUCAGUGGCUAAG
This 785-nucleotide ribosomal RNA is filed under the name uncultured Bacteroidota bacterium. Its description in RNAcentral is "bacterial SSU rRNA". It matches the Rfam family "Bacterial small subunit ribosomal RNA", at positions 60 to 851 of the family's 1533-position model. The record is from RNAcentral. Lineage: Bacteria; Pseudomonadati; Bacteroidota.